RNAcentral lists this ribosomal RNA (651 nucleotides) under human gut metagenome. RNAcentral's name for it is "bacterial SSU rRNA". It matches the Rfam family "Bacterial small subunit ribosomal RNA", at positions 553 to 1217 of the family's 1533-position model. The record is from RNAcentral.
AUUGGGCGUAAAGGGUGCGUAGGCGGGUUAUCAAGUCUUUGGUUAAAAUGCGGUGCUCAACGCCGUAGUGCCAAAGAAACUGAUAGUCUAGAGUAUGGUAGAAGUGAGUGGAACUCCAUGUGUAGCGGUAAAAUGCGUAAAUAUAUGGAAGAACACCAGUGGCGAAGGCGGCUCACUAGGCCAAUACUGACGCUGAGACACGAAAGCGUGGGGAGCAAACAGGAUUAGAUACCCUGGUAGUCCACGCCCUAAACGAUGAGUACUAAGUGUAGCCAGAAGGCUGUGCUGAAGUUAACGCAUUAAGUACUCCGCCUGAGUAGUACGUACGCAAGUAUGAAACUUAAAGGAAUUGACGGGAUCCCGCACAAGCGGUGGAGCAUGUUGUUUAAUUCGACGAUACGCGAAGAACCUUACCAGGUCUUGACAUACUCGGCAAAUCUAUAGAGAUAUAGAGGAGGUUAACCGGGAUACAGGUGGUGCAUGGUUGUCGUCAGCUCGUGUCGGGAGAUGUUAGGUUAAGUCCUGCAACGAGCGCAACCCUUAUUGCUAGUUACCAUCAUUAAGUUGGGGACUCUAGCGAGACUGCCGGUGAUAAACCGGAGGAAGGCGGGGAUGACGUCAAAUCAUCAUGCCCUUUAUGACCUGGGCUAC